AAUGGGCGAAAGCCUGACGGAGCAAGACCGCGUGCGGGAGGAAGGUCUAUUGACUGUAAACCGCUUUUGAUAGGGAAGAAGAUCUGACGGUACCUAUCGAAUCAGCAUCGGCUAACUCCGUGCCAGCAGCCGCGGUAAUACGGGGGAUGCAAGCGUUAUCCGGAAUUAUUGGGCGUAAAGCGUCCGUAGGUGGUUUUAUAAGUCUGUUGUCAAAUCGCGAGGCUUAACYUCGUACAGGCAGUGGAAACUAUAAGACUAGAGUGCGGUAGGGGUAGAGGGAAUUUCCAGUGUAGCGGUGAAAUGCGUAGAUAUUGGAAAGAACACCGGUGGCGAAGGCGCUCUACUGGGCCUGCACUGACACUGAGGGACGAAAGCUAGGGGAGCGAAAGGGAUU
RNAcentral lists this ribosomal RNA (394 nucleotides) under uncultured cyanobacterium. Its description in RNAcentral is "bacterial SSU rRNA". It matches the Rfam family "Bacterial small subunit ribosomal RNA", at positions 370 to 779 of the family's 1533-position model. The record is from RNAcentral. Lineage: Bacteria; Bacillati; Cyanobacteriota.